RNAcentral lists this unclassified non-coding RNA (43 nucleotides) under Trypanosoma brucei. RNAcentral's name for it is "gRNA from Trypanosoma brucei (PDB 8FNK, chain g)". Lineage: Eukaryota; Euglenozoa; Kinetoplastea; Trypanosomatida; Trypanosomatidae. The record is from RNAcentral.
AAAAAAAAAAAAAAAAAAAAAAAAAAAUUUUUUUUUUUUUUUU